CCUACGGGAGGCAGCAGUGGGGAAUAUUGCGCAAUGGGGGAAACCCUGACGCAGCAACGCCGCGUGCAGGAAGAAGGUCUUCGGAUUGUAAAACGUUGUCGCAGGGGAAGAAGACAGUGACGGUACCCUGUGAGAAAGUCACGGCUAACUACGAGCCAGCAGCCGCGGUAAUACGUAGGUGACAAGCGUUGUCCGGAUUUACUGGGUGUAAAGGGCGCGUAGGCGGGAUAGCAAGUCAGUCGUGAAAUGCCGAGGCUUAACCUCGGAGCUGCGAUUGAGACUGGUAUUCUUGAGUAUCGGAGAGGAAAGCGGAAUUCCUAGUGUAGCGGUGAAAUGCGUAGAUAUUAGGAGGAACACCGAUUGCGAAGGCAGCUUACCAAACUACGACUGACGUUGAGGCACGAAAGCGUGGGGAGCAAACAGGAUUAGAUACCCGAGUAGUC
This 443-nucleotide ribosomal RNA is filed under the name uncultured bacterium. RNAcentral's name for it is "partial 16S ribosomal RNA". It matches the Rfam family "Bacterial small subunit ribosomal RNA", at positions 338 to 795 of the family's 1533-position model. The record is from RNAcentral.